ACUCAAAUGAAUUGACGGGGGCCCGCACAAGCGGUGGAGCAUGUGGUUUAAUUCGUCACUAACCGAAGAACCUUACCCAGGCUUGACAUCGCGUGUAAGACCAUGAAAGUGGUUCCCUCUCGCAAGAGAGCACAAAGACAGGUGUUGCAUGGCUGUCGUCAGCUCGUGUCGUGAGAUGUUGGGUUAAGUCCCGCAACGAGCGCAACCCUCACCGUAUGUUGCCAGCGUAAAGUCGGGAACUCUUACGGAACUGCCCGUGCAAGCGGGAGGAAGGUGGGGAUGACGUCAAGUCGGCAUGGCCCUUACGCCUGGGGCUACACACAUGCUACAAUGGGCGGCGACAGAGCGCUCCGAAGCCGCGAGGUGGAGGCAAUCGCACAAAUCCGCCCUCAGUUCGGAUUGCAGGCUGCAACUCGCCUGCAUGAAGCUGGAAUCGCUAGUAACCGCAGGUCAGCGAAACUGCGGUGAAUACGUUCCCGGGCCUUGUACACACCGCCCGU
RNAcentral lists this ribosomal RNA (500 nucleotides) under uncultured bacterium. Its description in RNAcentral is "partial 16S ribosomal RNA". It matches the Rfam family "Bacterial small subunit ribosomal RNA", at positions 899 to 1397 of the family's 1533-position model. The record is from RNAcentral.